This is a long non-coding RNA of Lingula anatina, 153 nucleotides long. RefSeq lists it as uncharacterized. The record is from RefSeq and is a predicted model, not a curated record. Lineage: Eukaryota; Metazoa; Brachiopoda; Lingulata; Lingulida; Lingulidae.
CUAGCAUUUCGAGAGGACACAAACAGAAACGUACUCAAAAGUUUGUUAAAAUGAGAGAAGUACAGAGUGCAGAGGAUAUAACGUUGGAUAAGGUUAUCAAAAAACAGAUAUGGGAGAAGGCUGCAUUGAAUAUAUGAAUUAUGGUCAGGCUGG